RNAcentral lists this ribosomal RNA (789 nucleotides) under uncultured bacterium. RNAcentral's name for it is "bacterial SSU rRNA". It matches the Rfam family "Bacterial small subunit ribosomal RNA", at positions 633 to 1426 of the family's 1533-position model. The record is from RNAcentral.
CUGAUGAGCUUGAAUACACUAGAGCUAGGCGGAAUGUGACAAGUAGCGGUGAAAUGCAUAGAUAUGUCACAGAACACCGAUUGCGAAGGCAGCUUACUAUGGUGUGAUUGACACUGAGGCACGAAAGCGUGGGGAUCAAACAGGAUUAGAUACCCUGGUUGUCCACGCCCUAAACGAUGAAUACUCGCUGUUAGCGUAUACAGUUAGCGGCUAAGCGAAAGGGUUAAGUAUUCCACCUGGGGAGUACGCCCGCAAGGGUGAAACUCAAAGGAAUUGACGGGGGCCCGCACAAGCGGAGGAGCAUGUGGUUUAAUUCGAUGAUACGCGAGGAACCUUACCCGGGCUUGAAAGUUAGUGAAUUAUCCAGAGAUGGAUAAGUGAGCAAUCACACGAAACUAGGUGCUGCAUGGCUGUCGUCAGCUCGUGCCGUGAGGUGUUGGGUUAAGUCCCGCAACGAGCGCAACCCCUACGUUUAGUUGCCAGCACGUUAUGGUGGGGACUCUAAACAGACUGCCUGUGCAAACAGAGAGGAAGGAGGGGACGACGUCAAGUCAUCAUGGCCCUUACGUCCGGGGCUACACACGUGCUACAAUGGAUGGUACAGAGGGCAGCAAGCUGGCAACAGCAAGCGAAUCUCAAAAAGCCAUUCACAGUUCGGAUAGAGGUCUGCAACUCGACCUCUUGAAGUUGGAUUCGCUUGUAAUCGCAUAUCAGCAAUGAUGCGGUGAAUACGUUCCCGGGCCUUGUACACACCGCCCGUCAAGCCAUGGAAGUUGGGGGUACCUAAAG